This is a non-coding RNA of Paramuricea clavata, 211 nucleotides long. The record is from the annotation of a GenBank genome assembly. Lineage: Eukaryota; Metazoa; Cnidaria; Anthozoa; Malacalcyonacea; Plexauridae.
CGCAGAAAACAAAAUGGCCGGGCGUUCCAUGUGUGAACUGAGUUUCUACUUUCGUUGAUUCGCGUUAAAUUUGCGAUAAUAACAGCUCAAAACUAAACUCAGAAAAUCUUUAGUCUGUUAACAAAGUUCGCAAGCAUCCAGAUUUCAAGUUUACGUCAAUUUUGAUGAGGAAAUACAGACAUCAUAUUUUGAGUUUGUAAUUGUAAGUACA